CAGUCGAACGGCAGCACAGAGGAGCUUGCUCCUUGGGUGGCGAGUGGCGGACGGGUGAGGAAAACGUCGGAAUCUGCCUAUUUGUGGGGGAUAACGUAGGGAAACUUACGCUAAUACCGCAUACGACCUACGGGUGAAAGCGGAGGACCUUCGGGCUUCGCGCAGAUAGAUGAGCCGACGUCGGAUUAGCUAGUUGGGGGGGUAAAGGCCCACCAAGGCGACGAUCCGUAGCUGGUCUGAGAGGAUGAUCAGCCACACUGGAACUGAGACACGGUCCAGACUCCUACGGGAGGCAGCAGUGGGGAAUAUUGGACAAUGGGCGCAAGCCUGAUCCAGCCAUGCCGCGUGUGUGAAGAAGGCCUUCGGGUUGUAAAGCACUUUUGUCCGGAAAGAAAAGCACUGGGUUAAUACCCUGGUGUCAUGACGGUACCGGAAGAAUAAGCACCGGCUAACUUCGUGCCAGCAGCCGCGGUAAUACGAAGGGUGCAAGCGUUACUCGGAAUUACUGGGCGUAAAGCGUGCGUAGGCGGUUUGUUAAGUCUGAUGUGAAAGCCCUGGGCUCAACCUGGGAAUGGCAUUGGAUACUGGCAAUCUAGAAUGUGGUAGAGGGUGGCGGAAUUCCCGGUGUAGCAGUGAAAUGCGUAGAUAUCGGGAGGAACAUCCGUGGCGAAGGCGGCCACCUGGACCAACAU
Molecule: ribosomal RNA, 692 nt
Filed under: Lysobacter sp. Y4_296_1
Lineage: Bacteria; Pseudomonadati; Pseudomonadota; Gammaproteobacteria; Lysobacterales; Lysobacteraceae
Description: bacterial SSU rRNA
Rfam family: Bacterial small subunit ribosomal RNA
Source: RNAcentral